RNAcentral lists this long non-coding RNA (1339 nucleotides) under Aotus nancymaae (Ma's night monkey). RNAcentral's name for it is "lncRNA (ENSANAG00000039015.1)". Lineage: Eukaryota; Metazoa; Chordata; Mammalia; Primates; Aotidae. The record is from RNAcentral.
UGUUCUUUCCAUAGUGGUGUGACAAGUACUUUUCAAUUCAAUUUGUUCAGUGUUAGCUUAGGAAAGCCACAAGAUCCCUUCUAGCUCUAAAACUUUCUUCUUUCUGUUUUUGUAAUAUAAUGUUCUAAUCCAAAGAUAACCUCUAGAAAAUUGAGUCUCAACUCGAAAAUGAAGAUAAUAAGGCUAAAGAUAGUCCCGACAAUGUAAAUCUUUCCUAAAGAGCUCUACAAGGAAGGUUUAUGAAAAUCUUGAGAAUAAAAAUGCAGAAUAAUCAUAUCUUUAUAGAUGGUAUCAAGAUGAAGAAAUUGUAUGAUCCUCAGGUCAAAAUACAAGUAGUCGAGAGAUUUGUCCAUCUAAUUCAUCAUACUACUCUGAUCCAAGUGAGACCCACAUUGGAUCAGCUCCAUCAAGGAGAGGAAUAUUUCACCCACGUUUGGAUUCUGGAAUAUCAUCCCUGCUUCCUUCAGAUUCUCGUAAGCACCUCACUUGGCACAAGGUAGAACAACAUGACAUUCAAGGAGGUCAACUGCGUUGCCCAAGAGUAAGAGAAGGUAAAAGAAUAAAUGUGUGCCUUUUGUUGUGUACAUCCUCCGAGUAGUUUUUGUGGAUUAAAAGGCAUUACUUGAAGAAAGAAAAAGACAUCAUUUGGAGGUAAAAUUUUCCUUUUUCAAGACUAUAGAAUUGUUGAUAUGUGAAGCCACCUUUGAAAGCAUAUUCUUAUAACUUAUUAUAUAAAUAACAUUCAGCAUUAUUGGAAAAAAUUGAAAGAUAAAGAAGAACCUGUAACCGACUAUCCAGAAUAACCACUCUGACUUUUGUUUCCAUUCUUGUACAAUAUAUACAUACAUAUAUAUACACACACGUAAUUUUUUUCACUAAAAUGAAUAAGCAUUUCUUCCAUUCCAUUAAACAUUACCCAAAUCAUACUUUUUAAAGCUUACAUAAUUUUCUAUCAUAUAUCAUUAAAUUUAUUUAGCCAAUAAUCUUUGUUGAAAAUUUAGUUUACUAUUUUUUAUAACCAUGUUAUUCACAAUGUAUAUAUCCCUCUCAAUCUAUACAUCUGUAUAUAUACAUCUACAUAUUGAUACAUAUAUCUAGAGAGUUAGAUAAGUAGAUAGAAACUUAUUAUAGGAAUCACAUGAUUGUAGAGACUGAGAAGUCCUACAACAUGCCUUCUGUAAGCUGGAGAAACAGGGAAGCCAGUGGUAUAACUUGGUCUGUGUCUGAAGAUCUGAAAAUCAGGAGGCUGACAGUGACACUCUAUCAGAGCCCUCAAUGGGUUGCAAGAUGCCUGCCCACAUUGGUGAGGGCAAAUCUUUGCUCAGAUUGCCGAUUCAAA